RNAcentral lists this long non-coding RNA (1413 nucleotides) under Equus asinus (donkey). Its description in RNAcentral is "lncRNA (ENSEASG00005028092.1)". Lineage: Eukaryota; Metazoa; Chordata; Mammalia; Perissodactyla; Equidae. The record is from RNAcentral.
CAGUCCCCCAGCCAUUAUCACGCCUCGAAUAGUUAAGGCAACUCCCUAGUAUCCCCUAAUACUCUCCGUGCGCACUGCCGUGAGAGUUUCGGGAUGUCCGCAUCGUCGGAGCGUCCAGGCGGGACCGUGCACAUUGCGCGCGGCGGCUCCGCCCCUGCGACUCCGGGAUCCUCGGCCGCCCCGCCCCCGCCUCUCCUCGGGCCCGCGAUUUACUGAGGAAACGGGAUCUCUGCCCUGUGGGACGUCCGAGCCCUCGCAUUCGGCUCAGGCCUUACUGAUGAUGUCGUUUGACCUGUUUCUCUGUCCUCCAUGGUUCUCGGAAAUUCAUAGUCCGCUUUAAAGUCCUGAGGAGAGCCGCGCUCGCUUUUUCGAGCCUGCGCGCUUCGUCGGGAGGGCAGCCCGGUGGAGGCGCCUGGCGAAGCGGGGGCUUCAGCGGAGGUCGUCAGCCCGACCCCCGUUAGAAGGGUUCCCACCAAACCUCCUAAUGCUUUUCGAAUACACUGCGGGUCUCGUUUGUUUGUUUUUAACCCUUGGCUCACGAGCUGUAAGGAUGUAAACCCAAGGCCCUUGGUGUCCAAGUUCCGUGCGCCGAGGAACAAAACUGAGAAUAAGGGCAGGAAAAGACACAGAGAAUGCAAAACUGAAGCUGUGUUUCCGGCGCUGCGCCGCUGAGAGGCUCUCCUGGAGCCGCCGCGGGUGGGCCUGGUUGCUGGGUCUCGGGCCCCGCCUCCCGCACUCGCCGCCCCGCUGUGGCCGCGCUUUCUUCGGCAGAGGCCGUCGCGUCUGAAAAAUGGCUCCGCCCACCCUCGUCUCUGUUGGAAUGCCGACUGAUGUGUCUCUUCUGGAUGGUUUCUGAAUGUCGUUUUCUGUCAGGCAGGUGUGCUGCCUCAUCCAUUAGGACAACGUGCCAGAGCAAUAAAUCAUUGCCUACUGUUGGUAGCAAUGGCUGGAAAUUGGGUGUUAUGGUCUGACCAUUUGGUGAGCUCUGCACUGGAUGAAUCAUUUGAAGAGAUCCAGUGUCUGUUGGGUGAGACAACAGAGAAGCUAGUUUGUUUGCCUGUUCAUCUAUUUGGGCUCAAAUCAAUCAAGACUGUUGUGUGCCACCAAGAAGGAUGCUGUCAGCAGGUCAGACUCUGUUCUUGGUCAGCUGUAAGAGUUCCAAUGUAAUCAUCUAGGACUUCAGAGGAACAAAAAAGCAUCCAAGCACCCAACAGUGUUUUUGCCAGAAAAUCCUUCAUCCUUGUGACAAUGUAUAAUUCUGGUUCAUGCUAGGUUCACAAACUUCUUUAUUUCUGUAUCCUUCUUUGGCUACUCUUUGUCUAUGACCCAUAACUGUUGAUACCCCGAAGCCUUACUGCUUGGAUCCUGCUUUCCUCUUCAAUAACUUUGGGUAAGUUCAGCCACUUGGGGUUU